This is a long non-coding RNA of Bombus impatiens (common eastern bumble bee), 112 nucleotides long. RefSeq lists it as uncharacterized. The record is from RefSeq and is a predicted model, not a curated record. The transcript has 3 exons. NCBI's taxonomy places the organism in Eukaryota, Metazoa, Arthropoda, Insecta, Hymenoptera, Apidae.
UUUUCGUUCAAAUAAAUGUUUCAUUAUUAGUUGCUCUUUUUAACAUGCCGAUCCGUAUCCUUAUAAUUUUUUAGAAUCUUCAACCUCAAAAUGUCGCUUCAAAAUAGAAAAC